AUGUUAAACGGCUUCAGCUUCAGCUUCAGUUUCAGCUUCAGUUUCAGCUUCAGUUUCAGCUUCAGCUUCAGCUCCAGUUUCAGCUUCAGUUUCAGCUUCAGCUCCAGCUUUAGCUUCAGCUUUAGCUUCAGCUCCAGCUUCAGCUCUAGCUUUGGCUUCAGCUUCACCUUCAGCUUCAGUUUCAGCUUCAGCUCCAGUUUCAGCUUCAGUUUCAGCUUCAGUUUCAGCUUCAGCUUCAGUUUCAGCAUCAGCUCCAGCUUCAGCUUUAGCUUCAGCUCCACCUUCAGUUUCAGCUUCAGUUUCAGCUCCAGCUUCAGCUUCAGUUUCAGCUUCAGUUUCAGCUUCAGCUCCAGUUUCAGCUUCAGCUCCAGCUUCAGUUUCAGCUUUAGUUUCAGCUCCAGUUUCAGCUUCAGCGUCAGCUCCAGCUUCAGCUCCAGCUUCAGCUCCAGCUUCAGCUUCAGCUCCACCUUCAGUUUCAGCUUCAGUUUCAGCUUCAGCUCCAGCUUCAGUUUCAGCUUUAGCUUCAGUUUCAGCUUCAGUUUCAGCUUCAGCUCCAGUUUCAGCUUCAGUUUCAGCUUCAGUUUCAGCUCCAGUUUCAGCUCCAGUUUCAGCUUCAGCUCCAGUUUCAGCUUCAGUUUCAGCUCCAGCUUCAGCUUCAGUUUCAGCUUCAGUUUCAGCUUCAGCUCCAGUUUCAGCUUCAGCUCCAGCUUCAGUUUCAGCUUUAGUUUCAGCUCCAGUUUCAGCUUCAGCGUCAGCUCCAGCUUCAGCUCCAGCUUCAGCUCCAGCUUCAGCUUCAGCUCCACCUUCAGUUUCAGCUUCAGUUUCAGCUUCAGCUCCAGCUUCAGUUUCAGCUUUAGCUUCAGUUUCAGCUUCAGUUUCAGCUUCAGCUCCAGUUUCAGCUUCAGUUUCAGCUUCAGUUUCAGCUCCAGUUUCAGCUCCAGUUUCAGCUUCAGCUCCAGUUUCAGCUUCAGUUUCAGCUUCAGUUUCAGCUUCAGUUUCAGCUUCAGCUCCAGUUUCAGCUUCAGUUUCAGCUUCAGUUUCAGCUCCAGUUUCAGCUUCAGCUCCAGUUUCAGCUCCAGCUUCAGCUCCAGCUUCAGCUCCAGGUCCAGCUUCAGUUUCAGCUUCAGCUCCAGUUUCAGCUUCAGCUCCAGCGGCUGA
Molecule: long non-coding RNA, 1158 nt
Filed under: Oryzias javanicus (javanese ricefish)
Lineage: Eukaryota; Metazoa; Chordata; Actinopteri; Beloniformes; Adrianichthyidae
Description: lncRNA (ENSOJAG00000002817.1)
Source: RNAcentral